AGCAAUAAUGACCUGUGGGCUGGGCUGCAGCAAAGAGAGGGACUGAACCUCCUUCGAUUUGAGUGCCCCAGCCUCAGCCUCCCCCCCCAGCUGCCUGCAGCUCCAGGCAGGAUGGACAGAGCAUGUGCUGCGAGCCUCCCCUGCCAAAAAUGAUGACGAGGUUCAAGGAGAAAAUAAGUUACAUUACAGUUUCCAAAAUGGUCCUGGCUCUCCGCUGCAGAUGGGUCACCACCGUCAGGUCUGUGAUGCACUUGCCGUCCCAGCUUGUGCUUUUUGCGAGAAGAGGGGGAUAUAACUAGACUGGUUAUUUUAGGUUAAAAUAGCCGGGACAGACGCCUUCGCCUCAAAAAUAUUCUGAGACAACAUGAAAGUAGAAGGAAACAAGUCUCUUCAGUCACAAAAGGCCGUACAUCCCGCAUAUUACUAGAUUCAAUUAAUUUAAUAAAAUAGAAUAUACACAGA
Long non-coding RNA from Pipistrellus kuhlii (Kuhl's pipistrelle), 462 nucleotides. RefSeq lists it as uncharacterized. Lineage: Eukaryota; Metazoa; Chordata; Mammalia; Chiroptera; Vespertilionidae. The transcript has 2 exons. The record is from RefSeq and is a predicted model, not a curated record.